CUGCCAGAUAGAAAGCAUUCCACGAUUAUUCUGGAUUUUUGUUGUUUUGCUGGUGGAAACAUCUCACGGAUCAGUUCGGAUGGGAUUGUAAGCGUGUGGGAGUAAGCGUCAACGAUACUGGUCACCAUGCAAUCACAAAUGUGGAGGAGGUGGCCGCAUUCGCUAUGGAACUUGGAAUGUCCCUACACAACAGCGUUAUGAUGAAAUUUGUAAUUCUGAUCCUUACAAAGAAAAGGCAUUUACUACGGACGCUUGUGACGAUCAAGAAGUUGAAGCGCGAUUAUCCUCUUGAAAUCCUUGGAGCUCAUGUUCGCAUACUUGCGGCGUCGAAACAAGAAUACGUUAUAAGUACUCUGUGUGUCCAUCUGGAAAGGAUUCUGAUGCCUGUCAAGGUCACGACUUCGAAAUGGAACGAUGUCGAAAACGUUCUUCUUGUCGUUUCAAAGAAAGCACUGGCCUGGGAUCACUGGUCAAGCUGGUCUCCAUGUUCUUCCUUAUGCGGAGGUGAUUCAACUAUGCGCAUUCGAAAAUGAUUAUCGAGCGGUAUCGGUCAACAUUUAAUAUGCGGGACACCGUGUGAUAUUCAGUUGUGCAACACUCAUCCUUGUGACCAUUACCGUCAAAAUUAUGCAGCAUGGAGUAGCUUGUUAUUGCCCAAUCCUUGCUCCAGCCGUGUUCUGAAUAUGGUUAUUUCGCUAACACGUUCCGUAUAUUCAGUUGUGGUUCGA
Molecule: long non-coding RNA, 728 nt
Organism: Paramacrobiotus metropolitanus
Lineage: Eukaryota; Metazoa; Tardigrada; Eutardigrada; Parachela; Macrobiotidae
Exons: 5
Source: RefSeq, a predicted model, not a curated record